RNAcentral lists this ribosomal RNA (505 nucleotides) under uncultured bacterium. Its description in RNAcentral is "partial 16S ribosomal RNA". It matches the Rfam family "Bacterial small subunit ribosomal RNA", at positions 28 to 523 of the family's 1533-position model. The record is from RNAcentral.
GAUGAACGCUAGCGAUAGGCCUAACACAUGCAAGUCGAGGGGCAGCACGGGAGUAGCAAUACAACUGGUGGCGACCGGCGCACGGGUGAGUAACGCGUAUGUAAUCUACCUACAACAGGGGGAUAACCCGGAGAAAUCCGGACUAAUACCGCAUAAAGCAGGGGUCCCGCCUGGGACUAUUUGUUAAAGAUUUAUCGGUUGUAGAUGAGCAUGCGUUCCAUUAGAUAGUUGGUAAGGUAACGGCUUACCAAGUCAGCGAUGGAUAGGGGAACUGAGAGGUUUGUCCCCCACACUGGAACUGAGACACGGACCAGACUCCUACGGGAGGCAGCAGUGAGGAAUAUUGGUCAAUGGGCGAGAGCCUGAACCAGCCAAAUCGCGUGAAGGAAGACUGCCUUAUGGGUUGUAAACUUCUUUUACAGGGGAAUAAAAAGACAUACGAGUAUGUCAUUGCAUGUACCCUGUGAAUAAGCAUCGGCUAACUCCGUGCCAGCCGCCGCCGUAA